CUCCUUACUGAAUAUCUGGCCCCAAGGCUCAGCUCUUGAGUGGCUGUGGAGCACCUCCCCUUUGGACGGUAAUAUCAUCACAAAUCCUGCUCUCCACAUGGAAAUCUUUGUCCACACACCAUCCCCUGCCCAUCCACAAACUCUCUAGUCUGUUUCGUGUAGGUCAGCCCUGCAAAGCAGGGGUCUCCAACUCCUGGGUCACAGACUGGUCCUGGUUCAUGGCCUGUUAGGAAUGGGGCUGCACAGUAGGAGGUGAGUGUGGGUGAGCAAGGGAAACUUCAUCUGUAUUUACAGCCACUCCCUACUGCUCACAUUACCACCUGAGCUCUGCCUCCCAACACAUCAGCAGCAGCAUUAAAUUCUCAUAAGAUCGCAAACCCUAUUGUGAUAGGCACAUGCAAGGGAUCUAGGUUGCAUGCUCCUUAUGAGAAUCUCAUGCCUGGUGAUCUGUCACUGUCUCCCAUCAUCCCUAGAUGGGACCAUCUAGUUGAAGGAAAACAAGCUCAGGGCUCCCACUGAUUCUACAUGAUGGUGAGUUGUAGAAUUAUUUCAUUAUAUAUUACAAUGUCAUAAUAAUAGAAAUAAAGUACACCUUAAAUGUAAUGCGCUUGAAUCAUCCCAAAACCAUCCCCCACUCCCCACUGCCGGUCUGUGAAAAAAUUGUCCUCCAUGAAACUGGUCCCUGGUGCCAAAAAGGUUGGGGACUGCUGCUGCAGGGCACUUUCCCAUCUGCUAGCUCCAAGCCUGGGCUCCUAGAGCCACACUGAGGCUCUGUAAAAUCACAAGUGCCACCUGACAGAUUCCUGUAAAAACGGGCCCAGCACGACAACAGUGCCAUCCAUGGAAGAGAUUUCAGCCUAAAGAGAAAAUGUUAAAUUUCUCUUUUCCUCAAAUUUCCUUAUAUCUAGCCCUGCAACCCUCUUUCCCAAGUUAUGCUGGAGCUCAACUUCAAACUUUCUGGGAGUCACACAGAAAAUGGUACAAUGCUUGUCUAGACUAAAAACCAUUCUCUGGGUAACUCUGUACUGAAGCAACAUCAUAAAAAUGUGAAUAUGUAGAAGUCAUUUUAAGACAUAUUUCUUUUCAUUAUAGCCUUCAGAAACAUAGUCACUUGAAAGCUUUUUGUGCCUCUUAAAAGGAUAAUCCUCCCCCCCAACCAUAAGUAAGGCACCUGAGUGUAACAAUGUAAGUGAUCCCUUACACAGGAAAAAUGGCUGAGACAUUUAUUGAUUCUCUACUUAGUCUCUAUUUCAUUAUAUUCAUAAAAUCUGUUGUAAUUUUUAAUAAAAUCUCAGACAGCUUAUGACUACAACUGACUACUUAGCAGUUAGUAAAUCAUUUCUUAUUUCUAAGGGUUGCUCAAUGUAACAGUCCAAUGGAAGCAUAACCAUGGUAAGCUGCAGUUCAGAUAAAGUCUAACUUGCUGGCUCUCCCAUCCCUGCUGACAGGCAAUGGAAUGCAGACGUUCUGUUUCUAAGAGCUGUGUCACAUCUGGUUCAGGUUGCUCGUGGUCCACAGUGGCCCACGUUCAUUACCAUCUAAUAGCCGCUUGGCCUUUGUCAGGCGCUGUCUCAAGUCAAGCCUGAGGCCUGACACCCACAUCUGCUGCACUUCUCUGAAUCUUUGAAUCUCUCCCCUCGUGACCUUCUCACUGGCUGCCACAGUGUCAAAUGCACAGUAAGUCAAGCAGCCAGUCAUUUGAAUUAAGAGUCACAGACAUCAGUGCUGACUGGGACCUUGGAGAUCACAGGGUAGAGCCGACUCCUGUGGCAAACAGGAUGGAUGAAGCCAUUUGUCCCAGGACAGCCCAGGAAGGUCUGACCUGGGGAAUCAUUGUGACAUCUGGGGGGUGGAAGUGCAGUCUCAGCCAGACAGGGUGAGGGCCAGCUCAGUCACAAACCAGAGCUCUAUUUUCCUCUCUUGCCUCAGUUUCCUCAUUUGCAAAAUGGAGAUAACAGGAGUACCCACCUCUCGGGAUGUUUGUGAAGAUUAAAUGAGUUUAUAUUUGUGACACCCUUAGAGCCCAGCUACCACUGUUUGUUAAACGAAUGAAUAAAAAGUAAAUAGAUUAAUAAAUAGCCCUUUUAAAUAUUAACAGGGAUUUUCAAUUUUUCUUUGUUAAAACUGAGGAAGUCUUUCUUUAAAUAAAAUCUCACUCAGAAGCCAUAUAUCUGUACUUUAAAAAUGUGUGCAUAUAUACAUAUAUAACGAAGAUCUUUACAAUGAUUAAAAUCAGAACUAUUAUAAAUACACACACAGCAUUUCAUCUGAGACUUCACUCUCCUUUGUCACACGAAGGCAAAGCUCCUCCUGUUAUGGUCACUGCUCAGGCAGCUCUGGACUGAGGCUGAGGAAACCCUGGACCACUGUCUACCAAGCCUGAGAGCUUUGAGGUCACAGGGCCAACGCCAGGAGUCAGGUCGCAGUGCAUGGGCAAUGGUCUGGUCAGCUCAGGAAUGUUUCGAGGGGAAUGACCACUUUGCCUGAUGCCCUUGAAUGGCUCUGGAUUUCCCAUAGAUGCCACAAGAAGGAUGUGGCUUCUGUUCUGGAAGCUGAUGGGCCAAUAUGGCUGCUUGGGAGGGUGAGAACUUCCCCCAUUUCUAAAAUCUCGCCAUGGAGGUCACAACUGACCACAGUGGGCAUCUGAGUAGAAUCUAGGAACAGCCCGUCACCCACAGUGACAGGACAGUUUCAUGAUCAGGCAAGUGGUCAUGUAGGUGUCUCAGGAAUGUCCUGGCAGGCUUCGAAAAAUGGGUCUGGGAUGUUGGGAGGAGUGGACUUUGAUCUCAGAAGCAGACAGCACAGCACCUUCAGGAAGCCAUAUAUUCCUUUUUUCUCAUCCUGUUAAGAGCAUCCUUCCAUCCUAAGAGGUGACAAUCCAUUUAUUCAAUGCCUGUUUGGAAGAUCAUUCAA
RNAcentral lists this long non-coding RNA (2913 nucleotides) under Homo sapiens (human). RNAcentral's name for it is "HSALNT0169186". The record is from RNAcentral. Lineage: Eukaryota; Metazoa; Chordata; Mammalia; Primates; Hominidae.